UCUGGCCUGAAAUCAGGUAGGACUACCCGCUGAACUUAAGCAUAUCAAUAAGCGGAGGA
This 59-nucleotide ribosomal RNA is filed under the name Trichosporon asahii. RNAcentral describes it as "partial 28S ribosomal RNA". It matches the Rfam family "Eukaryotic large subunit ribosomal RNA", at positions 1 to 57 of the family's 3401-position model. Lineage: Eukaryota; Fungi; Basidiomycota; Tremellomycetes; Trichosporonales; Trichosporonaceae. The record is from RNAcentral.